This 375-nucleotide ribosomal RNA is filed under the name uncultured bacterium. RNAcentral's name for it is "bacterial SSU rRNA". It matches the Rfam family "Bacterial small subunit ribosomal RNA", at positions 111 to 496 of the family's 1533-position model. The record is from RNAcentral.
UAANGCGUGGGCAACCUACCCUUAAGACCGGGAUAACACCCCGAAAGGGGUGCUAAUACUGGAUAAGCCCCUUGUAGGGCAUCCUAUGAGGAGGGAAGGUAGCGGGAGCUACCGCUUAAGGAUGGGCCCGCGUCCCAUCAGCUAGUUGGUAGGGUAACGGCCUACCAAGGCGACGACGGGUAGCCGGCCUGAGAGGGUGGUCGGCCACACUGGGACUGAGACACGGCCCAGACUCCUACGGGAGGCAGCAGUGGGGAAUCUUGCGCAAUGGGCGAAAGCCUGACGCAGCGACGCCGCGUGAGCGAGGAAGGCCUUCGGGUCGUAAAGCUCGAUAGUGUGGGAAGAAGGGAUGACGGUACCACGCGAAAGCCCCGG